ACGGAAUAGAUACCCAGGUAGUCCACGCCCUAAACGAUGUCUACUAGUUGUCGGGUCUUAAUUGACUUGGUAAACGCAGCUAAACGCGUGAAGUAGACCGCCUGGGGAGUACGGUCGCAAGAUUAAAACUCAAAGGAAUUGACGGGGACCCGCACAAGCGGUGGAUGAUGUGGAUUAAUUCGAUGCAACGCGAAAAACCUUACCUACCCUUGACAUGGAAGGAAUCCCUGAGAGAUCGGGGAGUGCUCGAAAGAGAACCUUUACACAGGUGCUGCAUGGCUGUCGUCAGCUCGUGUCGUGAGAUGUUGGGUUAAGCCCCGCAACGAGCGCAACCCUUGUCAUUAGUUGCUACGAAAGGGCACUCUAAUGAGACUGCCGGUGACAAACCGGAGGAAGGUGGGGAUGACGUCAAGUCCUCAUGGCCCUUAUGGGUAGGGCUUCACACGUCAUACAAUGGUACAUACAGAGGGCCGCCAACCCGGCGAGGGGGAGCUAAUCCCAGAAAGUGUAUCGUAGUCC
This 519-nucleotide ribosomal RNA is filed under the name uncultured bacterium. RNAcentral describes it as "bacterial SSU rRNA". It matches the Rfam family "Bacterial small subunit ribosomal RNA", at positions 772 to 1294 of the family's 1533-position model. The record is from RNAcentral.